AUGUCCAAGAAGGUCUGGAAGGUGGCCAAGCUCGCCGUGCAGUCGCUGGAGACGUACUACGGAGACCGGGCCUACCGUUUCUUGUUCGACGCCAUCGCGGACUUCUUCGCCGCGCUCCUCACCUCGGACCUCGAACAGCUUGCCCACGGCGGGAAGAAGAUGAAGAUCGGGCUCGCCGCCAAGUGGUGCCCCACGCCGGGCUCGUCGUUCGACCGCACCACGCUGCUCUGCGAGGCCAUCGCUCGUCGCCUCUUCCCGCGCGACUCGGACCCCGAGUACGCCCAACUCUCGGACGAGCACUACACGUAUCACGCCCUCCACCGCCUUCGCCGUCAGGUGCUCGUGCCGCUGCGCAAGGUCCUGAAGCUUCCGGAGGUGUACAUGAGCGCGCAGCGGUGGUCGGAGCUCCCCUACACUCGAGUGGCCUCGGUGGCCAUGAGGCGCUACAAGCUCCUGUUCAAGAAGCACGACGAGGUGCGCUUCGGCAGGUACCUGGAUGACGUGAAGGCCGGCAAGGCCAAGAUCUCGGCGGGCGCGCUCCUGCCACACGAGAUCGCGGCGGCCGCACUCCUUGGCCAGGAGGACGACGUCUCCGAGCUUCAGUGGCGCCGCAUGGUGGACGACCUCCGCGCCAAGGGGUCGCUGCGCAACUGCAUCUCCGUCUGCGACGUGUCCGCCAGCAUGACCGGCACCCCGAUGGAGGUGUGCAUCGCGCUGGGGGUGCUCGCGUCGGAGCUCAGCGAGAAGCCGUGGAGGGGCAAGGUGAUCACGUUCCAUUCAAGGCCCUCGAUCCACACCAUCAAAGGCAAUACCCUGUGGGAGAAGAUGAAGUUCGUGGAGCGCUUGGAGUGGGGCGGGAGCACCAACUUCCAAGUGUUUGACCAGAUCCUCCGCACGGCCGUGGACGCCGGACUUGCGCCGGAGAAGAUGAUCAGGACCGUGUUCGUGUACAGCGACAUGGAGUUCAACAUGGCGUCGGGGCCGUCGUGGGAGACGGACUACGAGGUGAUCUGCGAGAAGUUCAGGGCCGCCGGCUACGGCGACGUGGUGCCGCAGAUCGUCUUCUGGAACCUGCGCGACUCCAGCUCGAUGCCGGUGACGUCGACCCAGCCCGGGGUGGCCAUUGUGAGCGGCUUCUCCAAGAACAUCCUCAAGAUCUUCCUGCAGAACGACGGCGUGGUGAACCCCGAGGCCAUCAUGAUGCAGGCCAUCGCCGGCGACGAGUACCAGAAGCUGGCCGUGUUUGACUAG
RNAcentral lists this ribosomal RNA (1251 nucleotides) under Triticum aestivum (bread wheat). RNAcentral describes it as "partial small subunit ribosomal RNA". The record is from RNAcentral. Lineage: Eukaryota; Viridiplantae; Streptophyta; Magnoliopsida; Poales; Poaceae.